UGCAUUUAAACUUUUUGGAAUUUUGUUACCCUCAUAACUCCGCAACCGGAUGUUGCGCGCGAAAACGGAUUUCACGCCUAUGUAUACAAAUCAUUUGUCUACACAUUGUCAAAAAGCAACCCAAAAAAGUGAUUGGAAGUGCGCGAAAGCGAAUAUUCCCGUGCGCUUCCGCCGCUUCGACUAGGUAGCUAGUCAGUAGGUGUCAGGCUGGCUAAUGACUUUCUGCUGGCUGAUAUGCCGAUCUCCAAAUAUCCACCAAGCAGACGGAUGAGUGGAAGCGGUAAAAAAUGGUCAGCGGAACGGACAGAUGCGAUAUGAUACUCCAUUCAAACUCGCCGUAAAACAGCAUCUGACUGGGAUUCGUUUCCGAUCGUUUGAUCUCAAAUGUACUGAACGUCCACAUGGCUACGUUGCACACAAUGAGGAAAGUGAUCAUUUCGCGACCAGGCUUUUUACGCUGUAAUUCGGGAUUAUUUGAGCAGCGUCGCAGUCCAUCAAAGAUGAACGUUGUCUGCAGUAUCACUUGCAGCAUCGAGGAUGUAUUCACGACGAUGGAGAGAUAAUUACAUGCCGCAAUGCCGGCAAUAAUACUAAAGAAGCUGAAAAUAAAAAAGCACGGCAGCGCAACGAAAAGAAGGAAAUCAUCCAAGGUAUGUUUCAUAGCUGAAUGGUUCAAAUCCAACCGGGAUGUUUGCCUGAAUGCGGCGAUUGUGACAACUGAUGUCAACCCGAAAAGACUUAAUUCCGACACAUUAUUGAUAAUCAGAGCCGUUGCAGCAUAUUCUUCGGCGGAAAUCGUGACGAAAAAAAUUAUUAUGCUGAUGACUGUGCCAACCAGUACUAGAAUUCCCGGGAACAGGCCACGAUUAGUAGACCGGCAAUCGACAUGGAUCAUGUACAGUGACGAUCGGAUGCUGUGCUCAGAAUGAUCGUCACGGCGCUGGCCAUCUGGACGAUUAGAAAUGUACGAAGCAUUUCCUUCGUGUGGCGAAAUUUCAGAAGUUGUUGAAGUUUUACUGGGCACUUCAGGUGAAUUAUCCGAGUGGGAAUCGUUGUUUCCUAUAUUGCUCCAUAUCAUGUACCACACGGCGGCGGCAAUCAGUGUGUAUUCGAUUGUGAAGGGAUAUAAGUAUGGAGCGGCUUCCUGAGCUAUGUUUGCCAGGACAGUUUCUGGCAUACAAGCCGCUAAAGCAGCGCUGGUGUGAUUUGUAUCGACAGUGUGUGCUGCAAACAAAAAUUAAUGUCAAAUUACGGUGAUAUGCCGAUUAGUUAUUAUAAUGAAAGGUGAAUUUUUUUGCAGAUAACUUUUCAAAGAAAAUGGCCGUUUAAAAAUUUGCAAA
Long non-coding RNA from Paramacrobiotus metropolitanus, 1340 nucleotides. RefSeq lists it as uncharacterized. The transcript has 3 exons. The record is from RefSeq and is a predicted model, not a curated record. Lineage: Eukaryota; Metazoa; Tardigrada; Eutardigrada; Parachela; Macrobiotidae.